Molecule: transfer RNA, 75 nt
Filed under: Cordylochernes scorpioides
Lineage: Eukaryota; Metazoa; Arthropoda; Arachnida; Pseudoscorpiones; Chernetidae
Description: tRNA-Thr
Source: RNAcentral
UGUCCAGGGAUGGGAAUCGAACCCACAACGUUCCGCUUACCGGGCAGAUGCCAUGUCCACUAGGCUACCCUGUAC